This 123-nucleotide ribosomal RNA is filed under the name Clostridioides difficile. Its description in RNAcentral is "partial 23S ribosomal RNA". It matches the Rfam family "Bacterial large subunit ribosomal RNA", at positions 2807 to 2925 of the family's 2925-position model. Lineage: Bacteria; Bacillati; Bacillota; Clostridia; Peptostreptococcales; Peptostreptococcaceae. The record is from RNAcentral.
AGGAUUCCCACCGCAAGGGUAAGACCCCAGAAAGACUAUCUGGUUGAUAGGUCGAAGGUGUAAGUGCAGCAAUGUAUUUAGCUUAUCGAUACUAAUAGGUCGAGGACUUGACCAAUAUUUAUU